CAGCCGCCACGGUAAUACGAAGGGUGCAAGCGUUACUCGGAAUUACUGGGCGUAAAGCGUGCGUAGGUGGUGGUUUAAGUCCGUUGUGAAAGCCCUGGGCUCAACCUGGGAAUUGCAGUGGAUACUGGAUCACUAGAGUGUGGUAGAGGAUAGUGGAAUUUCCGGUGUAGUAGUGAAAUGCGUAGAGAUCGGAAGGAACAUCUGUGGCGAAGGCGACUAUCUGGGCCAACACUGACACUGAGGCACGAAAGCGUGGGGAGCAUACAGGAUUAGAUACCCGAGUAGUCCCUGUCUCUUAUAA
This 301-nucleotide ribosomal RNA is filed under the name uncultured bacterium. Its description in RNAcentral is "partial 16S ribosomal RNA". It matches the Rfam family "Bacterial small subunit ribosomal RNA", at positions 509 to 809 of the family's 1533-position model. The record is from RNAcentral.